GAUGAACGCUGGCGGCGUGCCUAAUACAUGCAAGUCGAGCGAACAGACGAGGAGCUUGCUCCUCUGACGUUAGCGGCGGACGGGUGAGUAACACGUGGAUAACCUACCUAUAAGACUGGGAUAACUUCGGGAAACCGGAGCUAAUACCGGAUAAUAUAUUGAACCGCAUGGUUCAAUAGUGAAAGACGGUUUUGCUGUCACUUAUAGAUUGAUCCGCGCCGCAUUAGCUAGUUGGUAAGGUAACGGCUUACCAAGGCAACGAUGCAUAGCCGACCUGAGAGGGUGAUCGGCCACACUGAAACUGAGACACGGUCCAGACUCCUACGGGAGGCAGCAGUAGGGAAUCUUCCGAAAUGGGCGAAAGCCUGACGGAGCAACGCCGCGUGAGUGAUGAAGGUCUUCGGAUCGUAAAACUCUGUUAUUAGGGAAGAACAAAUGUGUAAGUAACUAUGCACGUCUUGACGGUACCUAAUCAGAAAGCCACGGCUAACUACGUG
This 497-nucleotide ribosomal RNA is filed under the name uncultured bacterium. Its description in RNAcentral is "partial 16S ribosomal RNA". It matches the Rfam family "Bacterial small subunit ribosomal RNA", at positions 28 to 507 of the family's 1533-position model. The record is from RNAcentral.